UCCGUAGGCGGUGCGGCAAGUCGGAAGUGAAAUCUCAGGGCUUAACCCUGAGGCUGCUUCCGAAACUGCCGUGCUGGAGUGCGAGAGAGGCGGGUGGAAUUGCAGGUGUAGCGGUGAAAUGCGUAGAUAUCCGCAGGAACAUCCGAGGCGAAAGCGGCUCGCUGGAUCGCAACUGACGCUGAGGGACGAAAGCUAGGGGAGCAAACAGGAUUAGAUACCCUGGUAGUCCUAGCCCUAAACGAUCAGGACUGGGCGUGGGCCUCGUACGGGGCUCGUGCCGCAGCUAACGCGUUAAGUCCUGCGCCUGGGGAGUACGGUCGCAAGGCUGAA
This 330-nucleotide ribosomal RNA is filed under the name uncultured bacterium. RNAcentral describes it as "bacterial SSU rRNA". It matches the Rfam family "Bacterial small subunit ribosomal RNA", at positions 568 to 898 of the family's 1533-position model. The record is from RNAcentral.